UAGGGAAUCUUCGGCAAUGGGGGGAACCCUGACCGAGCAACGCCGCGUGAGUGAAGAAGGUUUUCGGAUCGUAAAGCUCUGUUGUUAAGGAAGAACGAGUGUGAGAAUGGAAAGUUCAUGCUGUGACGGUACUUAACCAGAAAGGGACGGCUAACUACGUGCCAGCAGCCGCGGUAAUACGUAGGUCCCGAGCGUUAUCCGGAAUUAUUGGGCGUAAAGCGCGCGUAGGCGGUUUUUUAAGUCUGAUGUGAAAGCCCACGGCUCAACCGUGGAGGGUCAUUGGAAACUGGAAAACUUGAGUGCAGAAGAGGAAAGUGGAAUUCCAUGUGUAGCGGUGAAAUGCGCAGAGAUAUGGAGGAACACCAGUGGCGAAGGCGACUUUCUGGUCUGUAACUGACGCUGAGGCUCGAAAGCGUGGGUAGCAAACAGG
This 430-nucleotide ribosomal RNA is filed under the name Bacteroidota bacterium. RNAcentral's name for it is "Bacteroidetes bacterium partial 16S ribosomal RNA". It matches the Rfam family "Bacterial small subunit ribosomal RNA", at positions 355 to 776 of the family's 1533-position model. The record is from RNAcentral. Lineage: Bacteria; Pseudomonadati; Bacteroidota.